RNAcentral lists this ribosomal RNA (244 nucleotides) under uncultured Glomus. RNAcentral describes it as "partial 23S ribosomal RNA". It matches the Rfam family "Eukaryotic large subunit ribosomal RNA", at positions 325 to 522 of the family's 3401-position model. The record is from RNAcentral. Lineage: Eukaryota; Fungi; Glomeromycota; Glomeromycetes; Glomerales; Glomeraceae.
GGCGAGAGACCGAUAGCGAACAAGUACCGUGAGGGAAAGAUGAAAAGAACUUUGAAAAGAGAGUUAAACAGUACGUGAAAUUGUUGAAAGGGAAACGAUUAAAGUCAGUCGUACUGACGGGGAAUCAACCUUUCGAAUGUGAUAACGUGGGGUUUCAAAGAGCCUUUGUUUCUCCCGGCAUUCGCGUUCUUUUGGUGCACUUUCUCGUGUUUGUAGGUUAGCAUCGGUUUCGACCGUUAUAAAA